UACGUAGGGGGCAAGCGUUGUCCGGAAUCAUUGGGCGUAAAGCGCGUGUAGGCGGCCUUGUAAGUCCGUUCUGAAAGCCCGGGGCUCAACCCCGGGAGGCGGAUGGAUACUGCAAGGCUCGAGUACGGAAGAGGCGAGUGGAAUUCCCGGUGUAGCGGUGAAAUGCGCAGAUAUCGGGAGGAACACCACUGGCGAAGGCAGCUCGCUGGGACGUUACUGACGCUGAGACGCGAAAGCGUGGGGAGCAAACAGG
This 253-nucleotide ribosomal RNA is filed under the name uncultured bacterium. Its description in RNAcentral is "partial 16S ribosomal RNA". It matches the Rfam family "Bacterial small subunit ribosomal RNA", at positions 524 to 776 of the family's 1533-position model. The record is from RNAcentral.